This 77-nucleotide transfer RNA is filed under the name Betaproteobacteria bacterium. RNAcentral describes it as "tRNA-Ile". It matches the Rfam family "tRNA". From Rfam's summary of the family: Transfer RNA (tRNA) molecules are approximately 80 nucleotides in length. Their secondary structure includes four short double-helical elements and three loops (D, anti-codon, and T loops). Further hydrogen bonds mediate the characteristic L-shaped molecular structure. tRNAs have two regions of fundamental functional importance: the anti-codon, which is responsible for specific mRNA codon recognition, and the 3' end, to which the tRNAs corresponding amino acid is attached (by aminoacyl-tRNA synthetases). tRNAs cope with the degeneracy of the genetic code in two manners: having more than one tRNA (with a specific anti-codon) for a particular amino acid; and 'wobble' base-pairing, i.e. permitting non-standard base-pairing at the 3rd anti-codon position. The record is from RNAcentral. Lineage: Bacteria; Pseudomonadati; Pseudomonadota; Betaproteobacteria.
GGGCCUGUAGCUCAGUCGGUUAGAGCAGGGGACUCAUAAUCCCUUGGUCGCUGGUUCGAUUCCAGCCAGGCCCACCA